UAUUGGGCGUAAAGCGCGCGCAGGCGGUUUCUUAAGUCUGAUGUGAAAGCCCACGGCUCAACCGUGGAGGGUCAUUGGAAACUGGGGAACUUGAGUGCAGAAGAGAAAAGCGGAAUUCCACGUGUAGCGGUGAAAUGCGUAGAGAUGUGGAGGAACACCAGUGGCGAAGGCGGCUUUUUGGUCUGUAACUGACGCUGAGGCGCGAAAGCGUGGGGAGCAAACAGGAUUAGAUACCCUGGUAGUCCACGCCGUAAACGAUGAGUGCUAGGUGUUAGAGGCUUUCCGCCCUUUAGGGCUGCACCUAACGCAUUAAGCACUCGGCCGGGAGAGUCCGGACGCAAGACUGA
RNAcentral lists this ribosomal RNA (347 nucleotides) under Priestia flexa. RNAcentral describes it as "bacterial SSU rRNA". It matches the Rfam family "Bacterial small subunit ribosomal RNA", at positions 552 to 897 of the family's 1533-position model. The record is from RNAcentral. Lineage: Bacteria; Bacillati; Bacillota; Bacilli; Caryophanales; Bacillaceae.